Raphanus sativus (radish) is the source of this 514-nucleotide long non-coding RNA. RefSeq lists it as uncharacterized. Lineage: Eukaryota; Viridiplantae; Streptophyta; Magnoliopsida; Brassicales; Brassicaceae. The record is from RefSeq and is a predicted model, not a curated record. The transcript has 2 exons.
GGAUGUUCGAAACACGAAACGUCGAGACCAGAAAACAAAAGUCUCUUUCUCACUCUCUCUUGAUAAACGUGCUCUGUGCAGAACUGUAAGCACGCGGCUCACCAAAGAUCAUUACUUUACUUAAACUCACUCUUAACUCUCCCUCUCUCUCUCUCAGGGUUUAAACUCACACUUGCUCAUUAAUUCCCACCGCUAACAUUGUCAUGGCUUCUUUUAUUUCCGGCUUCCGCAACUUCGUUCCAGCUUCAUCUUAUCCAAAGAGUCCUAUUACAAUGGAGGUGCUGUUAAGAACUGGUCGGAGAAUAAUAAUAAUUCAUCAUGUAUCAAACUUCUCACUCGUUUCCGUGGGUUGAUUUUGCCUAUGGUUAGUUAGGGAAUGAAGCAAAUGGUCCGUGCUUGUAUGAUAGAUGUAUAAAGAAUCCAAUGUCUAUCUUCUCUUUUGUGUGUUUUAAAUGAUUUUGGAUUCUUGAAAUAUAAAAUCAAUUGGAUUGAUUCUGAUUAUCACAUUUUACUC